Long non-coding RNA from Capsicum annuum, 1295 nucleotides. RefSeq lists it as uncharacterized. The transcript is spliced from 2 exons. Lineage: Eukaryota; Viridiplantae; Streptophyta; Magnoliopsida; Solanales; Solanaceae. The record is from RefSeq and is a predicted model, not a curated record.
ACCACAAACAUUAUUCUACCGCCCCAGCCCAACUGGAACACCCCAAUACCCGGCCGUUUCUCCACAGCUCUUCUUUAUCCAUACACUGACAAACCCAACAAUAAUAUUGAUGAAACAAGGCAGCAAUAUCAACACAGAACAACGCCCAAAUCACCAGAUAAUGAAAAAUCUGGUGGUUUUCAUUUCUUUCCUCGUCGGUCCUUUGUCGUCACCCAUGUUUUCAUUGCCGUCUCCAUCAAUAUCGCCUCAAUUCUUUCUCUUCCUAGUUUUUCUGACAAAUGCAGACCAAAAAGGGACUCGUUUUCUCCACUGUAGGCUUCUGAAAAGGGAGGUAUAGGGGAAUUCAAUGGUCUUUGAAGUAUUGUCUCUUUGAUUCAGCAGUCCAGUAGUUGUUCACCUUGAAGAACUCAAAUCGUCAAAUUCAAAGUCUCAAUCCUUCAAAUUUCUUCUGAAAAGAUGAUUUCCUCCUCCCCAAUACUCUCAAUCAUCACUCAAAAUUGAAUUUUGGAAAAUCUUCUUGGAGAAGCCGUUGCAACCUACCCUUUGCCUAUAAAAAAGGUCUUAUUCACUCCUUCGGGAUGGGGAAAAGUGAUAGAGAAAUUGAAUUUUUUUUUGAGUUUUAUCAUACUCUCCGAUUCACUAAGUUCUCUAUUUUCUUUACCUUAUUUUUUCGAUGAUCAUUAUUAAUCUCUCAUUCUGUCCAUAUCGCUCACUUCUCUAAGAGGUGAAACGACUAAUUGAGCUCGUCGUCCUAGUUCCUGCAUCGCAGAAGUUGAACUCCUUUCUUCUUAUGUUUAUGCAUGAACUCCCUCAUCGACUCCAUUGGACUCCCAUCUCUCGCAUUCCGUUGAGUUAAUACCAACCUCCAUCAAGUCAAGCCUCAUUAAACUCCAAAAAAUGGACUGAUAUACGCAGGACAACACUGUCACACAAACUGGUAUACGCUUGUAUACAAUGGAUAUACAGUGGGAAGCAACAACUACACACCCUUAUAUGGUGUACAAAAAAAUGAAAACAAACAUGUUGAUUUCUACACUGAUAUACAACAUAUACGAAGUGAUAUAGAGAAAAACGCAGGAAAAGGAGUUGUCGAUAUAGAGGGGCGAAAAUUGACUGAAAGUUCAUGGAAUUUGUCCAAAAGCCAAAGGGCCCAAUCGGAACUCUUCUCUAUUUAUUUCCCAGGCUAACUUGUUUAUUUGUAUUUACUUAACACUUUAAUUAUUAAUCUAGAAAUAAUAGUAUUUUUAAAUAUAAAUAAAUAGAAAUAAUCUCUUGAAUCAAAGUUAAUAUUUUUA